RNAcentral lists this long non-coding RNA (1788 nucleotides) under Homo sapiens (human). Its description in RNAcentral is "HSALNT0311656". The record is from RNAcentral. Lineage: Eukaryota; Metazoa; Chordata; Mammalia; Primates; Hominidae.
UCAAGUGAUCCUCCCGCUUUGGCCUCCCAAAUUGCUGGGAUUACAGGCAUGAGCCACUGUGCCUGGACAACUAGUGCAUUUUUUAAUACUAGGUUUGAUAAUGAAGUGCAUAGUUGUGGAAAAAUAUGAUUGGAGGACAACACGGUGUGAUCUAAUAGCAAUACGCUGGGGGAAACUUAACAAGGCCUGUCAGUUCAAUUCUUCUUGGUGUCCCUGUGUCUUUGAGGAUAAGGAUGUUCCUAUAAUUCAGAUACAGGCAGGAUACCUCUGGAAGGGGGGGUCUUAUGACCGACUGCAGGGAGGAAGGUCAGAUAAUUCUGUUAUGGCCUACUUCAGGGGUGAAGGCUGAGAGGAAAGUCAGAGAUACCUUCCUGCUUCUGCAGUUUUCUCAAAUGCCAAGGCGCCAUAUUUUGGGAUAGAAUGUAAUGAAGCCCAUCAGAAGUGAAGGGGAAAAGGCACUUAGGUGAAAUCCUUAAGUAGUGUAUUGUAAUUAAUAGCAAGACUCACAUCUGGUUUCUUGACUGUAGCUUUAAUUUUAUUUCCACUAGAAUCUCUUUUAAAUUUAUUGAUGGUUCUAGCCACCCUCCCCACCCACAUGUUUCCUUGUUUGGGGUGUAAUGGAUCAUGGAGCUAGUAAGCUAUAAAGUAGUGAAUUAAAUCCUUACUACCGUAUUCCUCCCAAUUUGAAUUGUGGAAGAAUACAGCAGUCUUUUUUGUACAGAAAGAGACAAAAGGUCAUUUUAAUUUUAAUAACUGGAUAUGGUAGGAGAUGGUUCCUUCUUACUUUCUCACUUUUCUGUAGAAAAACCCAGCAAGCUUAGAGAUCUCUAAGCUCCUCUGGCUUAGAGAUGCCUCCUUCUGAAAGCUUGGCUGGUGUUUAUCUGGGUCGUUAGAGCAGACGUUCACAAAAUGGUCAGUUUUGUAAACUUUAAAAGGGAAAGGUUGAGGAAGUGGAUAUCCAAUCCUAUUGCUUACUGAGGUAUGUAUUCUAAUUGGCUCAGAAUGGAUUAUGUUUUCACCCAAAGACCAUUCUGUAUUUGAGCCAAAGUUUAGUGCUUUAUAAUUGUACUGAGGGUACUAAUCCUUUUUAAAACGAGGAUUUGGUUUUGAUACAUAGAUGACUUAUGUUUCUUACUCCAGCUUUGACCUUUAAUAUUGGCACCUGUUUCUGGUUUCUCCUCUAUAGGGCAGCUCCACUUGGGAAUCCCAUUGACAUCUAAAAGAAGUGUAUUACAGAAUACUCAAUGAAAUAGAAAUUGAUGAGUAUUUUCAAAGCCAACAUUGUACCUAAUGAGGAAAAUUUGGAGACAUCUCCUCUAAAAUCCCUACUACUACUACACAAUUAGAGAAGAGGAAGAAAACAGAGAUAUCAAAGUUAAAAAGGAGGUAAAACCCACGUUUUGCAGAUGAUGUGAUUGCCUACCUGGGAAACCCAAGAGAAUCAACUGAAACAUUACUAUAAAAAAUAACAGAAGUCAGGAGAACAGUGGCAUAUAAAAUAAUAUAUGGAAGCCAAAGGCCUUUAUACAUAGCAAUAACAGCUAGAAGAUAUAAUGAGAAACCAAUUUGUAAUAUAAAAUAUUCCUGAUAAGAUAUAUACAAAACCUACAUACGAAAGACUUUAAAACACAUAUGAAAGACACAAAAGAUGUUUACAAAGGGAAUGAGGUACCAUGUUCUUGGAUAGGAAGAUUUAGCAUGAUAAAGAUUCCAAUUUUUUCUAAAUUAAUAUAUAAAUUUAAUGGGAUCACAAUAAAACACCCUCAGCUUUUCUUGUUUUUCUUUAAA